This 600-nucleotide ribosomal RNA is filed under the name Escherichia coli. RNAcentral describes it as "bacterial SSU rRNA". It matches the Rfam family "Bacterial small subunit ribosomal RNA", at positions 1 to 590 of the family's 1533-position model. The record is from RNAcentral. Lineage: Bacteria; Pseudomonadati; Pseudomonadota; Gammaproteobacteria; Enterobacterales; Enterobacteriaceae.
AAAUUGAAGAGUUUGAUCAUGGCUCAGAUUGAACGCUGGCGGCAGGCCUAACACAUGCAAGUCGAACGGUAACAGGAAGCAGCUUGCUGCUUUGCUGACAAGUGGCGGACGGGUGAGUAAUGUCUGGGAAACUGCCUGAUGGAGGGGGAUAACUACUGGAAACGGUAGCUAAUACCGCAUAACGUCGCAAGACCAAAGAGGGGGACCUUCGGGCCUCUUGCCAUUGGAUGUGCCCAGAUGGGAUUAGCUAGUAGGUGGGGUAACGGCUCACCUAGGCGACGAUCCCUAGCUGGUCUGAGAGGAUGACCAGCCACACUGGAACUGAGACACGGUCCAGACUCCUACGGGAGGCAGCAGUGGGGAAUAUUGCACAAUGGGCGCAAGCCUGAUGCAGCCAUGCCGCGUGUAUGAAGAAGGCCUUCGGGUUGUAAAGUACUUUCAGCGGGGAGGAAGGGAGUAAAGUUAAUACCUUUGCUCAUUGACGUUACCCGCAGAAGAAGCACCGGCUAACUCCGUGCCAGCAGCCGCGGUAAUACGGAGGGUGCAAGCGUUAAUCGGAAUUACUGGGCGUAAAGCGCACGCAGGCGGUUUGUUAAGUCA